Molecule: long non-coding RNA, 254 nt
Filed under: Homo sapiens (human)
Lineage: Eukaryota; Metazoa; Chordata; Mammalia; Primates; Hominidae
Description: HSALNT0188273
Source: RNAcentral
CGGAAACAUAAAUAUUAUGCAAAAACAGGCAUGUUUCGGUGGAGUUAAUCUCUGUGCAAUCCUUUCCUUCCAAGCCCAGCAGCUCUGCUGGAUUCUAGUUACCAACCAAGCCCUGGGCAGGCCCUUCAAAUGCAUCAUGGCCUUGUUUCUAUCCCCAGGCUUGAUUUACUCCUGGCUGCUCUUUUUCAAAAAAUAAACUGGAUGAUGGCCAGAAUCAUAGGGUGAAAAAAUAGCCCUGAUGAAAGUGUUCUGGA